CCUGUUUAACAAAAACAUGUCUUUUUGAGUUAUUUUAAAAGUCUGACCUGCCCACUGAAAUUAUUUAAAUGGCCGCAGUAUUUUAACUGUGCAAAGGUAGCAUAAUCAUUAGUCUUUUAAUUGAAGGCUGGCAUGAACGGUUGGACGAGGUAUAAUCUGUUUCAUAUAAAUUUAUAAUAGAAUUUUAUAUUUUAGUCAAAAAGCUAAAAUUUUAUUAAAAGACGAGAAGACCCUAUAAAUCUUUAUACUUUAUAUUAUUUAGAUUUUUUAGAUUUAUUUUAUUUUUAUAAUUUGAAGUAUUUUGUUGGGGUGAUAUUAAAAUUUAAUGAACUUUUAAUUAUUUUAAAUCAUUAAUUUAUGAAUUAUUGAUCCAUUAAUAUUGAUUAUAAGAUUAAGUUACUUUAGGGAUAACAGCGUAAUUUUUUUGGAGAGUUCAUAUCGAUAAAAAAGUUUGCGACCUCGAUGUUGGAUUAAGAUAUAUUUUUAGGUGUAGUCGCUUAAAU
Molecule: ribosomal RNA, 503 nt
Filed under: Bactrocera melanothoracica
Lineage: Eukaryota; Metazoa; Arthropoda; Insecta; Diptera; Tephritidae
Description: partial large subunit ribosomal RNA
Rfam family: Bacterial large subunit ribosomal RNA
Source: RNAcentral